This 463-nucleotide long non-coding RNA is filed under the name Homo sapiens (human). RNAcentral's name for it is "non-protein coding lnc-NFKB1-2:1". Lineage: Eukaryota; Metazoa; Chordata; Mammalia; Primates; Hominidae. The record is from RNAcentral.
CGAUGACACGCAAAGGGAAAGAGGAAAGGCACCUGAUAUUCUCUAGGCCUUUUAGAAAAUAUGGAGUUGUUCCUUUGGCCAUAUACAUGUGAAUCUACAAGAAAGGUGAUGUAGACAUCAGGGAAAUGCAUCUGGUUCAAAAAGGAAUGCCCCACAAACGUUAAUGUGGGAAAACCAGAGGAGUCUACUGUGCUACCCAGCAUGCUGUUGGCACUGUUGUAAACAAACAAGUGCAAGAUUGUUGCCAAGAUAAUUAAUGUGUUGAGCAUAUUAAGCACUCUAGGAGCCAAGAUAGCUCCCCAAAACUCAAGAAGGAAACAAAGGAAAAGAAAAAGAAGGAAGCCAAAGAGAAAGGAGCCUGAGUUCAAUGGAAGCACAGCUGGCUCCACCCAGAGAAGUGCACUGUGAGAACCAAUGGAACAGAGCCUGAGUUUCUAGAACCUGUUCCCUAUGAAUGCAUGGC